UGGUGACUAUAGCAAGGAGGUCACACCUGUUCCCAUGCCGAACACAGAAGUUAAGCUCCUUAGCGUCGAUGGUAGUCGAACGUACGUUCCGUUAGAGUAGAACGUUGCCAGGCA
RNAcentral lists this ribosomal RNA (114 nucleotides) under Staphylococcus aureus. Lineage: Bacteria; Bacillati; Bacillota; Bacilli; Caryophanales; Staphylococcaceae. The record is from RNAcentral.